GGAUAUAGCUCAGUUGGUAGAGUGUUUGCCUUGCAUGACCAAGGUCCUGAAUUCGAUCCCCAGCACCA
Molecule: transfer RNA, 68 nt
Filed under: Marmota monax (woodchuck)
Lineage: Eukaryota; Metazoa; Chordata; Mammalia; Rodentia; Sciuridae
Description: tRNA.Ala
Source: RNAcentral